Molecule: unclassified non-coding RNA, 4832 nt
Filed under: Limulus polyphemus (Atlantic horseshoe crab)
Lineage: Eukaryota; Metazoa; Arthropoda; Merostomata; Xiphosura; Limulidae
Description: uro-adherence factor A-like, transcript variant X1
Source: RNAcentral
CAUAUUCUGUAGAAUCAACACAAAGCUGCUUAUCCAACUGAAAAAAAAAAGUAACACGACUUUUUAAACUCGACAGAAGACAUAGAAAGAAGCAAAUAAAGCAAAAUAUUCAGAUGUGAAAAGAGUGGUCGUUACAGGUCAUUUAUCAUGAACCAGAUUAGAAAGGAAGCAAGCUUGGACUCUCAAGGACAAGGAUCAGUAUGUUCUUUGGGCAACUCCCGCCUCACGUUAGACUCUCGAGACACAGUGUUGUCUUUGAAGUCAGCUUCAUUUGACCAAGUGGAUGAAAGCAUCCAAGUAGACCUAUCAGCUGAUACCAUUACUUACGACUCGGAUGAUGAAAUGGUGAAAAGAAGGGUUAACAUCCUUCGCAAUAAGAAAGGCCACCCAAUCUACUCUCGGGAAGACAUAAGAGAGCAAUACUGUAUUAAUAGAAAAGAAGCAGAAGUUUUAGAAAAUGCACGCACGAGUCGAAUGUUCGGUUGUCUCAGAGGUCAACAAGAUACGUCGUGUAGUAGGUCUUCGUUCUUUUCCUGUAUGUCAAAGAAGAAGGCUUCCAGCGUUGAAAAUGUUAGUAAACCUUUAUACUUUUAUAGAAAGCAAGAAAGACAAAGUGAAACAGGUGGCGUAGAUAAAGGAAGCGCCCACGGUAAAGGUGAAGGAAAGAUGGUGUUAGCUAAUUCAGUAAACGAUGAAGAUGAUGAUGACAAUGAAGAGUUUGCUAAAGCUGGAUUUCGUAGAAGACCAAAAUCGUUCUGUGCUUAUGAUCCAAAAGUUCGUUUAGCUGGGAUUGAUAAGAGUUCUGAUGACCAAAGUGUUUGUGUAGCUACAACCAAACUAUUUUCUUCUUUUAGUGCGAUAAGUGCAAAUCAGAACACUGUUAACACUGAGUCUGCACAAAUAGAGCAAUCACGCGAUUCAAUGGUAGGAAAACAGGCUGAUACUAACUCAACUCCUAGUUUAACACCAGACAUAAUUAAAGAUUCUGAAACUGUAGAACCUAGUUUGGAAUGGAAAGCUUCUAAAGCAGACGAGCUGUCUCUGGAUGAACGUAGGCAAAAACAUGUUAGUUUUGAUUCGGCUUCUCUCAUGCGUAAUCAUACUGUUGCCAAAUUGGUACAGAGCGAAAGUGGUCCAUUAGCAACAUCAACGCCUUUAAGUCAACAAAAAUUAUCUUGUAUUACAAAAGAACAAAGUAGGUCUCAAGAACGACUGUUAGAUACACCACUAAAGAAAGCCCCACAAACAGAAGACUCUAUUGUGGAUAGCACCACACAUUACGAUUCAUACCCUGGGCUGGGUUCGUCAUCUUUGACAGGCAGUGUUAUUCAGCUUAGACCAAGAAGAGCCCCCACGAAGACACAGGCAACACAAACAGAUAAAUCAGCAGCCAAUCGAAUACGCAUUCCAGCAUAUCUCACUCUAUCUCCUCGAGCGUCCGUUCCUCUGAGGCAGAGACAUCGAGGAGUACAACACAGAGGAAUAAGUAAACUGACUAAAAGCCAAUCUUCCUACGGAAACUUAGGAAGUGAUGAAGAAAGUGACGAGGACGUCAUGGAAAUAGAUGUUUUAUCAAAACACCAUCGGUUUAUUCGUCCUUUGAGAGGAAGAACCAUCUCGAAACAACGUUCCAUUGAUCUCUCUUCGGAGGAAAUAAUAGUUUCAUUCAAACCGAAUUCUCCUAUAACCAGAGGGUUUUUAUCAAAAAAUGUUUCUUCUUCUAUUUCUAAUGCAGAAACAAAUAGUGAAAAGCGUUUCAUAGAGCCGACAAAUCAACAGAAAUUGUUAAGUCACUCUAGUGUGCAUAAUCAAACUCCAAGAGAACUUUCAAUUUCAUCUUCAGUGGGUGUGAUACGAAAGAAGAGGAUUCCUUUAUCCCGCUCUUUAGCAAAUGAUGGUGAAGAGUUUAUUAUAGACGUGUCCUCUUCCAGCGCAAAAAGUAAAGUUUCGAAAGAAAGAAAAGUACCAGUAAGACGGCAUUCAACUAUUGAGCAUGAACCUUCACAAAUUGUGAAUAACCCUACUUCUUUGUAUUCUAUUGAAAAAUCAAAUACUAUGGCUUCCUCAGCAACCAAAACCGGAAUAAGGUUUGAAAACUCUGUAUCAUAUAAUCCACAUCAAAAUAUCGAAGAAAAUUUCAGCCUAGCUAUAGAUGAUAUCCACUUCCUAAGAACAGAUACGGAAGGUUUUUCUGUGUUCAGUGAUGAAUCACCAACGAUGACAUCAGACGUAGUGCUAUAUGACAGAAAACCUAACCAACUACUUCAGACAAAGGCAUCUUCCAAGUCACCAAUAAAAGAAAGGUAUCCACCAGAUACUUUCGUAAGAAGAAUUGAUCAACAAGAGAUCUUAACCUCUCCAGAAAGUGAAUCAUCCAGCAGUCAUUUUACUGAACGUGAGACGUCUCAGAGUGAUGUGUCAACUAGUAGCUCGUACUGGCUAGCAAAAAAAGAAGUAUCUCUUAGGACCGAAACCGAAUGUGAAGAGGCAAGCGAAAGCUCUGAAUACAUGACGGCCAAUGAACACUCGAGCAGAGACAAAGGACUUGGCAUGAAUAAAAUGUUGUUUCAUAAGAAAAUUACAGAUUCAAACGAUAUUUGCCAAAACUCGUUUGAAAGUACAUCUUCAUCGGCUAGUGUUUUUGGUUCUCCCUCUUCACGAUUUAGUAACCAAAGAACAUCUAGCUCAUUUUCUCCGAAAGAAGUUCAAAAAGAAUUAACACCUCAGCAACCCGAUUGGAACUUUGAAAACAAACAUAACAAUUCUGAAGAAGAAAUUCCGUUAGAUGAAACAAUAAACGAAAACCUGGAUUCUUCAGAUGAUUCAACUAAGAAGGGUCUUCUAAGUUCUGACUCUGAACUUCAGGAGAUAACACAUACUUUGUGUAAAGUGGAAGUACAGUCAUUCUCUCAGAAAGAAAACGCCAAAGAAUUUCCACCAAAGCUAGAAUAUUCACCUGAUCACUCAAGUUUACUUGAAGCUACAACAGUCAUCGAAAAAAGUGAUGGCACUUCGGAAGAUUUAGUGGAAUCUUUGCAUGACUCACCUACUCACAAAUUUUUAGCUACUGGUGAUCAUGAAUUGUCUUACGAGGAACAUUCUAACAGAGAGAGUGCAGAAAAAAAUAAAUUUUCAGAUGAGAAACAAGUACUUCGUUUUCCAAAAGAACAAGUUUUUACUGUUACAGAAGUCUCAGAAACACUGUCAGAAUCUGAAAAAUAUUGUCGUUUUCCAAAAGAACAACUUUUUACUGUUACAGAAGUCUCAGAAACACUGUCAGAAUCUGAAAAAUAUUGUAUUAAAACAGAUGAAUUCAUACCGGUUACUAUUAAACACGAUAUAGAAAACAGUGAAAAAUCUUCUAGUUUAAAUCUACGAAAUCUCUCCACGACAACUGAAUAUUUUCAGUCAGAAACAACAACCCCAUCUUUCGACAGCACAACUUCUGGUAGCUGUUUUGUGGAUAACGUUUUCGAAACUGAUCCAGAAUGUUCACAUUCACAAGGCGAGGAAGGGGCAGUUGAAAGCGAAAAUCGGUUGAAUCUGGACAUUGAAGUAACCGAUCCUCCUCGAUCAUUUGAAGAUAAUGUAGAUCUUCAAGGGAUGGAGACUUCCAUUAACACUGAAAACCUAGAACAGCACUUAGAAAGAACAUCUUCGCCAAAACCAGAUGAUGUCAGCUCUGUAAGUUUAAAUAUGGAGAAAGACAUUAUUUCAAGCAGAACAACGAGUGUUACUGAAUCUGUCCUUGAAACAGACUCAAAAGAUUCUCCAGCAACUUCAGCAACUUCUUUUCGAAAAGAAAGUCAGGUUUCUGUUAAAAAGAAGAAUCCAGAUGUCGUUAGGAAAAAGGAUCGUUUCAGAGUAACAAUCAACACAACCGAACCUCAAGAAGAAACACGCCGAAACAAUCCACUUCGCAGGUCACACUCUUUAAACAGGGGAACUGACACUCUAGAGGAAUGUCCUCCUUUCUUUCUGUGUAGCCAUUGUGGAGAAAGAGUUAAAGAUCAGAACAGAAGUUUCUCCUCUUUUAGUGGUGACCGGCUUUAUUCCAAACAAAGGUGGGAUUUUCCACAGACCGCUGAUCCUUCUAUUUUAAGAAAACAACAGGAACGAGAUAGACAGAGAUUUACUGGAACAAAAGAUAUUUUUUCUUUUCCACAUUCCAGGCUGCAAAGAUGGUGUGAGGGGUCCACUGCCAUAGAUGAGGAUGUGCUUGAAGAGGACGAUGAAGAUAGAGGCCUUCAUCUGGAGGGUUAUCACCUGUCUCUAUGGAUUUUUGUUGGAGAAGAAGAGGAGUUAGCCGUGUGGAAACAACUUGUAGAUUCUAAUAAGGAAGCUCCAUUGGAUUCUGAGGCUGUUGCUUUGGUUACUAGACCAACAUUACAUAGAUCAGAAUCGAGUGAUUCUACGUCAUCAGAGCGUGAAUUUCGAAACCAGUACCAAUCAGUAACUCAUAGACUCAUACAUCGGAAAUCUAGCAUGGAAUUAUAUAAACGUCUGUCCACGCACACGCUUGAAAGAAGCUCAGUAUACGCCAGCAGACAUUGAACAAAUGUAAAAUUCUAAAAGAACCAUAUUUUCAAGUAUUCCCUUUUAGAGAAUGUAGUAUAAAGCCUAAAAGGUCACGUUUCGAAAAAUUAUUUCAUAAAUUUUUGACGCCAUUUUAAAUGGAUAGAGGUAGGAGAGCAGAAGUAACAGCAGUUGAGUAAAAUUAGUUGGAAUUGUGCAACGGUACACAUUAUUACUAGGAAUCACAGAAAUGACGUUAAAAGGUUGAUAAGACGGUCACGGUGCAACGGAGCAAUGAUGAGUUCGGAUUUCGAAUC